UAAAGAUUCAUCGCUGAUAGAUAGGCAUGCGUUCCAUUAGGCAGUUGGCGGGGUAACGGCCCACCAAACCGACGAUGGAUAGGGGUUCUGAGAGGAAGGUCCCCCACAUUGGUACUGAGACACGGACCAAACUCCUACGGGAGGCAGCAGUGAGGAAUAUUGGUCAAUGGGCGUAAGCCUGAACCAGCCAAGUCGCGUGAGGGAUGAAGGUUCUAUGGAUCGUAAACCUCUUUUAUAAGGGAAUAAAGUGCGGGACGUGUCCCGUUUUGUAUGUACCUUAUGAAUAAGGAUCGGCUAACUCCGUGCCAGCAGCCGCGGUAAUACGGAGGAUCCGAGCGUUAUCCGGAUUUAUUGGGUUUAAAGGGUGCGUAGGCGGCCUUUUAAGUCAGCGGUGAAAGUCUGUGGCUCAACCAUAGAAUUGCCGUUGAAACUGGGAGGCUUGAGUAUGUUUGAAGCAGGCGGAAUGCGUGGUGUAGCGGUGAAAUGCUUAGAUAUCACGCAGAACCCCGAUUGCGAAGGCAGCCUGCCAAGCCAUGACUGACGCUGAUGCACGAAAGCGUGGGGAUCAAACAGGAUUAGAUACCCUGGUAGUCCACGCAGUAAACGAUGAUCACUAGCUGUUUGCGAUACAGUGUAA
RNAcentral lists this ribosomal RNA (637 nucleotides) under uncultured bacterium. Its description in RNAcentral is "bacterial SSU rRNA". It matches the Rfam family "Bacterial small subunit ribosomal RNA", at positions 202 to 842 of the family's 1533-position model. The record is from RNAcentral.